AACACACACAUCCAUCCUUGUUUGUUUCCCUAUUUAAGUUCUGUGUUUUUCCUCCUUAGUUGCCAAGUAUUAUGUUGUGUCGUUACCGUAUAUUUGGGGAUUCACACAGGGAUUUCCCCAGUGUGGGAUCAAUAAAGUUUUUAUCGUAUCUAUAUUGGUUUUAAUAUUGAAUUCCCUUUCCCUUGCCCUGUCAUACCUUAGUCUAGUCCACGUUUUAGUUGUUUUAGUUUGUUUUCUCUAGUCUUUGUAUGUUUUAAGUUGUCUUAAAAAUUAAAGUACAUUUUCAAAUUCUUCACUUCAGUUAAUGUAGUAAAGUAUAAACUCUUCGAUUUAUUUAAAGAAUAAAGAAAGGAGGAUUUUUAAAAACACUGAUUCUAGUUCCUGGAGGUAGAUUUGUGCCUCUUUCAACAACAAACCAAAACACUUGGGAGAACUUUAGCUGAAACUAACAAACAGGUUUAUCCUCAAUCUCUUCGAUGUUACCUAGCAUGCUAAUAACUCUGCUAUGCUAAUAGAUAGGCUAGCUGUUAAUAACUGUAAUAAGUGUACAUAGCAACAGAUAGAUUACAGUGAUGCAUAUUAGUGCUCUCGUGCUCGCUGUCACAAGUUCAAUCUGAAGUUGUCUGAUGCUAAAAACUCACCUUACGACUUGACAGAUAUAAUUUGACAGAAAUAUGCUGUUUGAAAAUGUAGUGAAAUUCUGACUUAUCUCAAAAUUCAUACUGCUGCUAUCAAAAAUAAAUAAAAAAAAUUCAUUAUGUAUUUUUCUACCUGCUGAAAAUGGGAUUCCACAGGAGACAAAAAUAAAAAUGAAAAAGUAAGCAUUGAGUCCUAAAGUGUAUCUCUUUAUUAGCGUUAUUGCUGCCUCUAGUGGUUAAUAUUGGAAAAACAGUCCAUCUUUUAUAUGUGAUUAUCCAAGCCAUGCUGCAGCCACACCUAGUUCUCAUUUUGUUCUGAACACAAACUUUUAAUCAUGAAAAAUUAUAAUCUCAUAGAAAAAAAAAACCUCAAAGUAAUAAGGAGACAUAUAUUUCACAUACAAAUAAUUUCACACUUUAUGUUUAGCACCAUAAUGUCGACAGUCAUUUUAAAAUAGACGUAACUGAGAGAAACGUGAGAUGAGAUGUGUGGAGCAGCUUGUAAAUCAGACAUCAUUCCAUAAAUCUGAUAUUUUCAGAAUAUAAAAACCCCCCAAAAAAUAAAAAUUCAAGAGUUCAAGAAAGUUUAUGAAGUAGGCUACCUAUUAGUGAUUAGCAGAUCAGUUGAAUUAUAUGUGCUACAGCAGGGAAAACUGUGCAAAUUAAGGGGAAUGGCUGGGCUAAACUGUACAAUAUAUAACAUCAUAAUCAGGUUUUUUCUUUAUAUAAGUUAACACAUUGGUUAGAAACAACACAAAAUAAAGACAAAAACAAAGAUAACAGUCUAGAAGCUGAAGCAAGAAGUAAGAAAACAAUGCCCUGUUGAUAAAACCAGAAAGAGAAACAUCUCAAUUUGUACAGUCAGAUCUUCUUGAAGCGUCUCUGUAUCCAGGUGGCUACUGGACCGGCUUGUUUACGCACUCCUGAAGUCCAUUUUUGAGCUGUGCAAGCUGCUGGGUGUGGCUAGCGAGGGUGCCAUUGACCUGCGCCAGAUAGCUGUCGGAAUGGCUCUCGAGUUCUGCGCGAAUCCUCUCCAACUGAUCAGCAAGCUCUCCCAGGCUGCUACACUGGCCUUCAACCUGGGCUACACGGCUUUCAACUCCCAUGACCUCACGAUGAGCAUCCAGCGCUGUGCCCCGACAUCCCUGCAGUUCCCCUGACAGCCUCCUCCUCAAUCCCUGCAGCUCACCCUUCAGCUGCACUAAUCUGCGCUCUCCAGCACCAAGCAACUCUCCCUGCUGGCCCACAAGCUUGGCGAUGCCAUGCACUUGUGUGGUCAACCGCUGCUGGCGAUCCUGCCAUGUGGAGUUAACGUGACUCAUCUCAUGAGUGAAAAGGUGCACGGAAUCUCUCAAGCCCUUUAGGGUGCGGUUUACGGAGUUGACAUUAAUCUUGAGGAGUGUGAUUUCACCCUGUAUUGAAUCCUCUUGGUCCUCUUGAGCAAUUUGAAAGAGAAGUCCUUGCAGUGUACUAUUUAGAUGGUCCAACAUAUCCGUGUGUGUGUCCAGACGCCCUGAAAUCUUCUUCUCCAAGUCUUUGCACUCUUCAAUUUCCGUUUGAAUAAGUGCUGCAUCGGGACUGGGCACCGGAGAGCAAGCUGAAGUGCAAAGAAGCUCAAGAUCUGUUAAUUGCUUCUGGACACCAUCCAAACCAGCUUCCAUACGUCUACGGAUGUUCUCAAUCUCCGUCCCUAAUGCUGGCACUACUUGGCCUUCCAGUAGCGCUGGAGAUGUGGCGUUGCUUAAUUCCUCCACAGCCACAAAAACACGCUCCUCCAGGCUUUUCAGUUUGUCCUCAAGAAGGGUUUUAAAUCCAUCCAGGGAUCCCAUACCUCCACCCAGGUCAUCUAACUCUGUCUUGCCCAGACGGCCCUCAACAUCUCGUAAGCGAGUAUCCAACAUUGUCUCCAAGUGCAUUGUCUGCUCACUCAGUACGGUCUGGAGUUGCCUCUGAGACUCUGUCAGGCCCUUAACAGACUCUUCCAGAUGCAGGGUCCUCUCGGAGAGAUCAUUAAUCUGAACACAGCAGCCCGGGGUCACUGUCAGACCCUGGAUCUGAGCCUGAAGAUCACCCAGUUCUUUCCUCAGGCCUGUUUCACGACCAUCCAAUAACUGCUGGUGCUGCUCCUGACCAUUCAGCCUUCUUUCAAACCCAUCCAGGAUCUGUGCUCUGACGCCAGCCAGUCUUUCAUCCAGCAGCUUCUCCAUUAACGUCUGGAUGCCCCCGGUUGGCACCUCCAUCAGCCUCUUCAGCUGCCCAUCAUGGCCCAUUACCAUACCAUGGAUCUCAUCCAGCAUGUGACUCUUGACCCUUAGCUCGUCCUUUACCUCUGUCACCCUUCCCAUCAGCUCACCAAGGACCGGGAAGCCCUCACCGCCCUCUGUGGUGUCCGGCAAGCCCUCAGGGAUGACAGCAAAGCCCACUGUAGAAUCUGGCUGGCGUGGGGCCCCACCUAACAGGGUGCUCACCAUCUUGGUGGUGUCCUCACGAAGCGAGACACGGAGACGAUCCUCCAGGCCAGAGAUCAGACCAUUCAGAGUGUCCAAACCCUGUGAAAGCCUCCUUAGAUCCUGCUCCAUACGAUCUAGACGCUCACCAGAGACACCCAUACUUGUACCUAAAGGCAAGAGGUCAUGAAUAAGCUUCAAGAGAACCAUUGUCUGGAAAGCAGCUUCUUCCGAUUUACUGUAACUUAUAUGGUUACCUGCUGGGGGCACGUGUCCGGUUGGCAUGUUAUCAUGAUGACCACCAGGGAAAAGAGGGAUGCCUAUCUCCAGCCCUGACCCAGGAGUUGGUAUCUUGUUGUGACCCCAUGGGAAACCCUUCAUUCCAGGUCUGGGUCCUUGAAUGGAGCCCUUGAAUGUUGGUAUGAUGGAGUCUGGGCCAGGCGUAGGGCCACCAAAGCAGUUUUCUCCAGAGUAGCCUGGGCAGCAGCGCCAUUCCAGCUCUGUCACUGUCUUAUGGCCAACCUUGUAGGUAGGUUUGAAGAAUGUCCGAUACCUGUGAACAUAUACAGUCUAACAUCAGCUAAAAGGUUAUUCCUCUUUCUCACAGGCACUGCCCAGAGUACUGAACACUGUUCAAACCACAUCCUCUCUGGGCAGUAUAUAAGGAAAAUACACACACCUUAGUCUUUGUGAGUCAGUUCUGAGCCUUUUAUUCUCACAUCUACCAUGAUGCUUGCAUUCCUGUAAUGUUUAAUCGCUUGAAUUUGCACUUUGGACAGCAUUUUGCUCUCAUUGUGUUGUGACCAUUUUUGCCUAGCAUUUGGAUUCUGGACUUUGACUUUGUUCUAAUAUAAUCUCAAACUUCUACCAAGUCUCGAGUGUUACACAUAGGCACCUGAUUACAUUUGGAGCACUUGACUUUUAAAAUCUCA
Ictalurus punctatus (channel catfish) is the source of this 4017-nucleotide long non-coding RNA. NCBI's taxonomy places the organism in Eukaryota, Metazoa, Chordata, Actinopteri, Siluriformes, Ictaluridae. The record is from Ensembl.